This is a non-coding RNA of Podarcis lilfordi (Lilford's wall lizard), 75 nucleotides long. NCBI's taxonomy places the organism in Eukaryota, Metazoa, Chordata, Lepidosauria, Squamata, Lacertidae. The record is from the annotation of a GenBank genome assembly.
GGAAAGGACCAUAGCUCAGUUGUAGAGCAUCUGCUUUGCAUGCAAAAGUUCCCAGGUUCAACUUGGGCAUUUCCA